AUGAAUCCUCGUAUUGACUCUCUGAGCUUUGGAGAGGAACGUCCGGUGGGUGUCAGCGAGUCUUUGCAAGCACCAGGUCACCUACUGCUGCUUCCCAGGAAGGAGGAGGUUCCCACGGAUUAUCAUCCCUUUCCGUGGGGUCCGGAAGGAGCCCCCCAGCCCAUUGCAGGGAGCUCGCGGCAGCCUCGUCCGUCUCCGUGUUCAGAGGCAACGCGCAAUGCCGGGCAGGAGGAAGCGAGCGUGACUGUCCCCGGCCGAGCGCGGCGCAGCCCCGAACAGAUGGCGCGGCGGAGCCAUGCCGUGGCCUCCAACAGCAAACACCAGGCCCCAUUGUUUCCUGCGAAAAGAGGGAUCGCGGAGCCAGCAGAGGAGACCUUCUGGAAGUGGGAGAAGCACAUUGCAGUGAGAUCUCUGGGUUCGCCUCGUUUUAACCCAGAGCAUGGGCAGGAUGGGUGCAGAACAGGCCAGUGCCUGGGACCAGGCGUGAGGAGCAGAGGAAACUACUGUCAGGCCACCUUGGACUUCAAACAAGCGUGUUGGCUCGUGAAGGAGUAACACAGAUGGAGAGGACGCUUUUGCUGCUGCACUCAACAGGCCAGCGGAGUUUUUCUGGCAGCAUUGGUGAUCCAACGAGACACCCUCAGAGUAGUCCCAGACCUAGCAAAAGGUGGGCGAUCUGCCCCAGAACAUGUGUUGCUGGAUGCUAACAAGGCCAGGUCGCAGGGCUAGUGUAUGGCACAGGGCACCUCCAUGGUUCCUGCCUGGUUUGCUGUCUUUGCCACAGUGGCGUCCUGGCAAGGACCCUGUUGCUAAUC
This 815-nucleotide long non-coding RNA is filed under the name Apteryx haastii (Great spotted kiwi). RNAcentral describes it as "lncRNA (ENSAHAG00000017048.1)". Lineage: Eukaryota; Metazoa; Chordata; Aves; Apterygiformes; Apterygidae. The record is from RNAcentral.